This 497-nucleotide ribosomal RNA is filed under the name uncultured bacterium. RNAcentral describes it as "partial 16S ribosomal RNA". It matches the Rfam family "Bacterial small subunit ribosomal RNA", at positions 28 to 507 of the family's 1533-position model. The record is from RNAcentral.
GAUGAACGCUGGCGGCGUGCCUAAUACAUGCAAGUCGAGCGAACGGACGAGAAGCUUGCUUCUCUGAUGUUAGCGGCGGACGGGUGAGUAACACGUGGAUAACCUACCUAUAAGACUGGGAUAACUUCGGGAAACCGGAGCUAAUACCGGAUGAUAUUUUGAACCGCAUGGUUCAAAAGUGAAAGACGGUCUUGCUGUCACUUAUAGAUGGAUCCGCGCUGCAUUAGCUAGUUGGUAAGGUAACGGCCUACCAAGGCAACGAUGCAUAGCCGACCUGAGAGGGUGAUCGGCCACACUGGAACUGAGACACGGUCCAGACUCCUACGGGAGGCAGCAGUAGGGAAUCUUCCGCAAUGGGCGAAAGCCUGACGGAGCAACGCCGCGUGAGUGAUGAAGGUCUUCGGAUCGUAAAACUCUGUUAUUAGGGAAGAACAUAUGUGUAAGUAACUGUGCACAUCUUGACGGUACCUAAUCAGAAAGCCACGGCUAACUACGUU